AUUUUGGGGGUCAGUGCACGGGGAAGGGAGAAAGCCUGGGCUUCCCUCACCCAUGGGUGAGUGGGGUUUUCCCUGGCAUGCAGGGGUUGGGCCUUCCUCAAGCCCCAGACAGAGAUAUGAUUUUUGACCUUUUUUCUUGUUGCCCCUUUUUGUCUGUAAUCUACUUUCAAUCAUUUCUUGUUCGUUUUUCUAGAGGAAGCAUUCUAGUUUGGGUCCAGUCUGGAUGGGGAAGUGUUUGGGAGCAGCUGUGGCGUGGAUGGGCCGUGCCCUUGGAGAAGGCUGAGGACAUCGUUUGGGACCAGCUUUUCUUCCAGUGGUGGAUGGCAUCAAACGGGCUCUGCGGGUGCUGAGGCUGCUCUGGGCUCUGCCAGGGCUCUGCUGGCGCUCAGCACCGGGCCCCAAUCAGCCAAAGAAGAAAUGGUGUGACCUGCAGCACAGACUUGCUUGAGCAUUUCAGCAACACAGCUCAAGUUUGCAGAGUGUACACCUCCAAGGGAAAAGAUGCCACCACGCAAAAAUUAAACUUGUUCAAUAGCUUCUGAAAUGAAAUCUA
Long non-coding RNA from Vidua chalybeata, 553 nucleotides. RefSeq lists it as uncharacterized. The transcript has 2 exons. Lineage: Eukaryota; Metazoa; Chordata; Aves; Passeriformes; Viduidae. The record is from RefSeq and is a predicted model, not a curated record.